RNAcentral lists this ribosomal RNA (507 nucleotides) under uncultured Glomeromycotina. Its description in RNAcentral is "SSU rRNA". It matches the Rfam family "Eukaryotic small subunit ribosomal RNA", at positions 569 to 1078 of the family's 1831-position model. Lineage: Eukaryota; Fungi; Glomeromycota. The record is from RNAcentral.
AGCAGCCGCGGUAAUUCCAGCUCCAAUAGCGUAUAUUAAAGUUGCUGCAGUUAAAAAGCUCGUAGUUGAAUUUCGGGACCAUCAUGUCGGUCGUGCCUCGGUACGUACUGGCAUUGUUGGUUUCUCCCUUCUGACGAACCAUGAUGUCAUUAAUUUGGUGUCUUGGGGAAUCAGGACUGUUACUUUGAAAAAAUUAGAGUGUUUAAAGCAGGCUCACGCUUGAAUACAUUAGCAUGGAAUAAUGAAAUAGGACGUUUGAUUCUAUUUUGUUGGUUUCUAGGAUCGACGUAAUGAUUAAUAGGGAUAGUUGGGGGCAUUAGUAUUCAAUUGUCAGAGGUGAAAUUCUUGGAUUUAUUGAAGACUAACUACUGCGAAAGCAUUUGCCAAGGAUGUUUUCAUUAAUCAAGAACGAAAGUUAGGGGAUCGAAGACGAUCAGAUACCGUCGUAGUCUUAACCAUAAACUAUGCCGACUAGGGAUCNGNUGAUGUUAAUUUUUUAAUGACUCA